This 1419-nucleotide ribosomal RNA is filed under the name Klebsiella pneumoniae. RNAcentral's name for it is "bacterial SSU rRNA". It matches the Rfam family "Bacterial small subunit ribosomal RNA". The record is from RNAcentral. Lineage: Bacteria; Pseudomonadati; Pseudomonadota; Gammaproteobacteria; Enterobacterales; Enterobacteriaceae.
CUACACAUGCAGUCGAGCGGUAGCACAGAGAGCUUGCUCUCGGGUGACGAGCGGCGGACGGGUGAGUAAUGUCUGGGAAACUGCCUGAUGGAGGGGGAUAACUACUGGAAACGGUAGCUAAUACCGCAUAACGUCGCAAGACCAAAGUGGGGGACCUUCGGGCCUCAUGCCAUCAGAUGUGCCCAGAUGGGAUUAGCUAGUAGGUGGGGUAACGGCUCACCUAGGCGACGAUCCCUAGCUGGUCUGAGAGGAUGACCAGCCACACUGGAACUGAGACACGGUCCAGACUCCUACGGGAGGCAGCAGUGGGGAAUAUUGCACAAUGGGCGCAAGCCUGAUGCAGCCAUGCCGCGUGUGUGAAGAAGGCCUUCGGGUUGUAAAGCACUUUCAGCGGGGAGGAAGGCGGUAAGGUUAAUAACCUUGUCGAUUGACGUUACCCGCAGAAGAAGCACCGGCUAACUCCGUGCCAGCAGCCGCGGUAAUACGGAGGGUGCAAGCGUUAAUCGGAAUUACUGGGCGUAAAGCGCACGCAGGCGGUCUGUCAAGUCGGAUGUGAAAUCCCCGGGCUCAACCUGGGAACUGCAUUCGAAACUGGCAGGCUAGAGUCUUGUAGAGGGGGGUAGAAUUCCAGGUGUAGCGGUGAAAUGCGUAGAGAUCUGGAGGAAUACCGGUGGCGAAGGCGGCCCCCUGGACAAAGACUGACGCUCAGGUGCGAAAGCGUGGGGAGCAAACAGGAUUAGAUACCCUGGUAGUCCACGCCGUAAACGAUGUCGAUUUGGAGGUUGUGCCCUUGAGGCGUGGCUUCCGGAGCUAACGCGUUAAAUCGACCGCCUGGGGAGUACGGCCGCAAGGUUAAAACUCAAAUGAAUUGACGGGGGCCCGCACAAGCGGUGGAGCAUGUGGUUUAAUUCGAUGCAACGCGAAGAACCUUACCUGGUCUUGACAUCCACAGAACUUAGCAGAGAUGCUUUGGUGCCUUCGGGAACUGUGAGACAGGUGCUGCAUGGCUGUCGUCAGCUCGUGUUGUGAAAUGUUGGGUUAAGUCCCGCAACGAGCGCAACCCUUAUCCUUUGUUGCCAGCGGUUCGGCCGGGAACUCAAAGGAGACUGCCAGUGAUAAACUGGAGGAAGGUGGGGAUGACGUCAAGUCAUCAUGGCCCUUACGACCAGGGCUACACACGUGCUACAAUGGCAUAUACAAAGAGAAGCGACCUCGCGAGAGCAAGCGGACCUCAUAAAGUAUGUCGUAGUCCGGAUUGGAGUCUGCAACUCGACUCCAUGAAGUCGGAAUCGCUAGUAAUCGUAGAUCAGAAUGCUACGGUGAAUACGUUCCCGGGCCUUGUACACACCGCCCGUCACACCAUGGGAGUGGGUUGCAAAAGAAGUAGGUAGCUUAACCUUCGGGAGGGCGCUACCACUU